AAUCUAUGUGUGUUUUCAGGGGUAACGGUGACUACCACCUGUAUAAAUCUAUGUGUGUUUUCAGGGGUAACGGUGACUACCACCUGUAUAAAUCUAUGUGUGUUUUCAGGGGUAACGGUGACUACCACCUGUAUAAAUCUAUGUGUGUUUUCAGGGGUAACGGUGACUACCACCUGUAUAAAUCUAUGUGUGUUUUCAGGGGUAAAGGUGACUACCACCUGUAUAAAUCUAUGUGUGUUUUCAGGGGUAACGGU
Long non-coding RNA from Oncorhynchus keta (chum salmon), 254 nucleotides. RefSeq lists it as uncharacterized. The transcript has 3 exons. Lineage: Eukaryota; Metazoa; Chordata; Actinopteri; Salmoniformes; Salmonidae. The record is from RefSeq and is a predicted model, not a curated record.